RNAcentral lists this ribosomal RNA (816 nucleotides) under uncultured bacterium. RNAcentral describes it as "bacterial SSU rRNA". It matches the Rfam family "Bacterial small subunit ribosomal RNA", at positions 8 to 853 of the family's 1533-position model. The record is from RNAcentral.
AGAGUUUGAUCAUGGCUCAGGAUGAACGCUGGCGGCGUGCCUAACACAUGCAAGUCGAGCGAUUUACUUCGGUAAAGAGCGGCGGACGGGUGAGUAACGCGUGGGUAACCUGCCCUGUACACACGGAUAACAUACCGAAAGGUAUGCUAGUACGAGAUAAUGUGCUUUUAUCGCAUGGUAGAAGUAUCAAAGCUUUUGCGGUACAGGAUGGACCCGCGUCUGAUUAGCUAGUUGGUAAGGUAACGGCUUACCAAGGCGACGAUCAGUAGCCGACCUGAGAGGGUGAUCGGCCACAUUGGAACUGAGACACGGUCCAAACUCCUACGGGAGGCAGCAGUGGGGAAUAUUGCACAAUGGGCGAAAGCCUGAUGCAGCAACGCCGCGUGAGCGAUGAAGGCCUUCGGGUCGUAAAGCUCUGUCCUCAAGGAAGAUAAUGACGGUACUUGAGGAGGAAGCCCCGGCUAACUACGUGCCAGCAGCCGCGGUAAUACGUAGGGGGCUAGCGUUAUCCGGAAUUACUGGGCGUAAAGGGUGCGUAGGUGGUUUCUUAAGUCAGAGGUGAAAGGCUACGGCUCAACCGUAGUAGGCCUUUGAAACUGGGAAACUUGAGUGCAGGAGAGGAGAGUGGAAUUCCUAGUGUAGCGGUGAAAUGCGUAGAUAUUAGGAGGAACACCAGUUGCGAAGGCGGCUCUCUGGACUGUAACUGACACUGAGGCACGAAAGCGUGGGGAGCAAACAGGAUUAGAUACCCUGGUAGUCCACGCCGUAAACGAUGAGUACUAGCUGUCGGAGGUUACCCCCUUCGGUGGCGCAGCU